CGCCUCCCUCUCCACCGAGGGAUGCUCACCCGCCGACCCCGGACCCCUCAGGCUGUCCUCAGGGCCCCAGAAGCCUCCACAGGUGGGGCUGGGGUCCUGGCUCCUUCAGACCCGGAUCCAGGCAGGGCCGGGAAUCCGGGGAGCCUCCGGGAGGAAGUCAGGACCCAGACCCUGGGGCAGCCGGGCUGGGCACAGGGCAGACAAGGGGCUCCCCUCCCCAGGCGCCCCCUCGACGCCACCCAGGCCAGAGAUGGUGGCAGAGGCUUCGACGGGGACUUCCGGCGGACCUGCCCCGGUUCCAUAGCAGGCACAGCUCAGGAGCUGCCAGUGCCCUGGCCGCCCCCCACCCGCAGCCGAGGGGAGCCACCGCGAGGGAAGCACAGUCCCAGUCCCGGCCUGAGAGACGCUGCUUUUUUCUACAUAAGAAUGAAAUGCCGCGACAGGAGCCUACAAAGACCUCCGUGUCCUGUUGAGAGUGAACCCCGACGGGAAGGACAGGGGUCUGGAGAGCCAGCCCACGGCCCCAGGCUCAGGCUGCCCCUGGUAGGAGCAGUGGGGCCGCUCCCCGGUGCCGCGCUCAGCAAGGAGGCGCUCCCAUACACCCGCUGCCACGGGGCCCAGGGCUGCGCCGCAGCCUCCCUGGAGGACAAACUUACCAGAAUGAAAAUAACUUCCCCUGCCAGCCCACAUCCGGGGCAGGAGUGCGGGGCAGGGCAAGGCUUGAAUCUGCAGACAGUCAUCUGGGCCAGCCCUGGAAAAAGUUCUCGGUCCGCUCAGCCCCAGAGCCUGAUCUCACUGUUACCAUCCUUGGCCCCACCCUUGGCAUUCACCUGGCCAACGUCCUCGUCACUUCCACCAACACCAAAUGCCAGUCAUCGAUGCCAUCAUCCCCAGUUCCAGCACUCCUUCACCAUGUCACUGACAGCACAAUCAUCAUCACCAUCAUCACCAUCGCCACCACCACCAUCAUCACCACCGCCACCAUCACCACCAUGACCACCACCAUCGCCACCAUCACCACCAUGACCAUCACCAUCGCCACCAUCACCACCAUGACCAUCACCAUCAUCAUCACCACCACUAUCAUGAUCAUCUCUAUCAUUACUACAGUAUCAUCAUAUCACAAAUAACCUCCCCACAUUGUGGCCACAUUCUUCUUAUCAUGAUGAUGUGAUCAUCA
RNAcentral lists this long non-coding RNA (1180 nucleotides) under Vulpes vulpes (red fox). Its description in RNAcentral is "lncRNA (ENSVVUG00000013936.1)". The record is from RNAcentral. Lineage: Eukaryota; Metazoa; Chordata; Mammalia; Carnivora; Canidae.